RNAcentral lists this unclassified non-coding RNA (214 nucleotides) under uncultured fungus. RNAcentral describes it as "sequence contains ITS1". Lineage: Eukaryota; Fungi. The record is from RNAcentral.
AUAUUUGAGUUGGGAUUAUUCUUGUGGUAUUCGAUUCGGUUCUUUUUUGUGUCUUUUAGUUAUUAAAAAUCCCAGGAAUAACCCUGACACAAAUAUGAACACUUUUUAUUCUCUCUAUAUUCUUUUUAACUAAAGAUAUAAGGAGCAAGAUGAUAUAUUUAAAACCCAACUCUUUAAAUGUUUUUAUAACUAUUGUGUAUUUAAAUAAAAAAGA